Gossypium hirsutum (cotton) is the source of this 106-nucleotide non-coding RNA. The record is from Rfam. NCBI's taxonomy places the organism in Eukaryota, Viridiplantae, Streptophyta, Magnoliopsida, Malvales, Malvaceae.
AAUCUGUGAUGUGGACAUUUUUAAAUCAACAUCUUAAAACACUUCCAAGCUUCAUGAAAACUCUCUCCCUCUAAUUAUUUGAACAUAGAAAUCUUCCUUCUUAACU